Molecule: ribosomal RNA, 484 nt
Filed under: uncultured bacterium
Lineage: Bacteria
Description: partial 16S ribosomal RNA
Rfam family: Bacterial small subunit ribosomal RNA
Source: RNAcentral
AUUGAACGCUGGCGGCAGGCCUAACACAUGCAAGUCGAGCGGAUGAAGGGAGCUUGCUCCUGGAUUCAGCGGCGGACGGGUGAGUAAUGCCUAGGAAUCUGCCUGGUAGUGGGGGAUAACGUCCGGAAACGGGCGCUAAUACCGCAUACGUCCUGAGGGAGAAAGUGGGGGAUCUUCGGACCUCACGCUAUCAGAUGAGCCUAGGUCGGAUUAGCUAGUUGGUGGGGUAAAGGCCUACCAAGGCGACGAUCCGUAACUGGUCUGAGAGGAUGAUCAGUCACACUGGAACUGAGACACGGUCCAGACUCCUACGGGAGGCAGCAGCGGGGAAUAUUGGACAAUGGGCGAAAGCCUGAUCCAGCCAUGCCGCGUGUGUGAAGAAGGUCUUCGGAUUGUAAAGCACUUUAAGUUGGGAGGAAGAGCAGUAAGUUAAUACCUUGCUGUCUUGACGUUACCAACAGAAUAAGCACCGGCUAACUUCGUG